This is a long non-coding RNA of Polyodon spathula (Mississippi paddlefish), 297 nucleotides long. RefSeq lists it as uncharacterized. NCBI's taxonomy places the organism in Eukaryota, Metazoa, Chordata, Actinopteri, Acipenseriformes, Polyodontidae. The transcript is spliced from 7 exons. The record is from RefSeq and is a predicted model, not a curated record.
AAGAUCUCAAAACUUCAAGCCCUCCUUCAACACCAGUCGCUAGAGAAGCAGAAUCCUCAAGCGCUCCUUCCACUCCGGUCUCUCAAGAAGCAGAAUCCUCAAGCCCCCCCUCUACUAUGGUCUCCCAAGAUCUCAAAACUUCAAGCCCUCCUUCAACACCAGUCGCUAGAGAAGCAGAAUCCUCAAGCGCUCCUUCCACUACGGUCUCUCAAGAAGCAGAAUCCUCAAGCCCCCUCUCUACUAUGGUCUCCCAAGAUCUCAAAACUUCAAGCCCUCCUUCAACACCAGUCGCUAGAG